Molecule: long non-coding RNA, 371 nt
Filed under: Equus caballus (horse)
Lineage: Eukaryota; Metazoa; Chordata; Mammalia; Perissodactyla; Equidae
Description: lncRNA (ENSECAG00000045380.1)
Source: RNAcentral
AAGUUGGCCAUCCGCAAGCCAGGAAAAGAACUCUCACCAGAACCUGACCAUGCUCACACCCUGAUGUCAGACUUCCAGGCUCCAGAAUUGCCUGCCCAUGAAAAACCCAAGAGGAUGAAACAGAGAACUCCCAGGCCUUGCCCUGUAGUCACAGAGAACGGGAGACUGCCUGACUGUGGGCAUCACAAGAAUUUCAAGGCCCAGAACUUGGAAGUUAGGCCUGAAGGGAAUGGCUCACAGCAUCUCAGAGUGAUCACCUUCUACGUGAAUUGUUAGGAUAGUAUAUGAGAGAUUGUCUGCUGCCCUCCCUCCUCCACUGGCUGAGAGGUCCACCUGUACCUAGUGGAAUUGGUUAGCUCAGCAGGUUCCAG